RNAcentral lists this ribosomal RNA (716 nucleotides) under uncultured Methanocorpusculum sp. Its description in RNAcentral is "bacterial SSU rRNA". It matches the Rfam family "Archaeal small subunit ribosomal RNA", at positions 1 to 725 of the family's 1478-position model. Lineage: Archaea; Methanobacteriati; Methanobacteriota; Methanomicrobia; Methanomicrobiales; Methanocorpusculaceae. The record is from RNAcentral.
UUUCCGGUUGAUCCCGCCGGAGGCCAUUGCUAUCAGGGUUUGACUAAGCCAUGCGAGUCGAGAGGUGUAAGACCUCGGCAUACUGCUCAGUAACACAUGGAUAAUCUGCCCUUGGGUGGAGAAUACUCCCGGGAAACUGGGGUUAAUGCUCCAUAGUGGAUAUAUACUGGAAUGUUAUAUCCUCGAAAGAUCCGUCGCCCAAGGAUGAGUCUAUGUCCGAUUAGGUAGUUGGCGGGGUAACGGCCCACCAAGCCUUUGAUCGGUACGGGUUGUGGGAGCAAGAUCCCGGAGAUGGAUUCUGAGACAUGAAUCCAGGCCCUACGGGGCGCAGCAGGCGCGCAAACUUUACAAUGCGAGCAAUCGUGAUAAGGAAACCCUGAGUGCCUGUCGAUGCAGGCUGUUCAUAUAUCUAAAUCAUAUGUGAAGAAAGGGCAGGGCAAGACCGGUGCCAGCCGCCGCGGUAAUACCGGCUGCUCGAGUGAUGGCCACUAUUACUGGGUUUAAAGCGUCCGUAGCUUGAUUGUUAGGUCUCUUGGGAAAUCUUCACGCUCAACGUGAAGGCGUCCAAGAGAUACCGGCAAUCUUGGAACUGGGAGAGGUAAACCGUACUUCGGGGGUAGGAGUGAAAUCUUGUAAUCCUCGAGGGACGACCUAUGGCGAAGGCAGUUUACCAGAACAGCUUCGACAGUGAGGGACGAAAGCUGGGGGAGCAAAAC